Telopea speciosissima is the source of this 365-nucleotide long non-coding RNA. RefSeq lists it as uncharacterized. The record is from RefSeq and is a predicted model, not a curated record. NCBI's taxonomy places the organism in Eukaryota, Viridiplantae, Streptophyta, Magnoliopsida, Proteales, Proteaceae. The transcript is spliced from 3 exons.
CUCAAAUCUCUUCAACGUUUGAGAAUUACACUUUGUCCUGUACUCCAAUCCUUUCAAGGUGUAAGGCUAGCAGAAAGUCUUCAAUCACUGACUAUUACUGAAUGUGCGAAACUCGAAGAACAGUGUCGGAAGGAAGAAGGCAAUGAAUGGUGUAAGAUAAAACACAUUCCUGAAAUCUGGAUUGAGUACCAACAGAUAUCUCGAACAGAAACUAGUGAACGGCCAACAGACACAGUGAAUGAGAAGUAAAAGGGAUCCAAAUUUAGCAAAGGGACCUCUUACAAUUUUGAUGAGUGAUAUUACUUCUACCUCGGGUGAGAGACAUGGCACCAUUGAUCCAAUGAUGUACGAGGAAGCAGGAUCAU